This is a non-coding RNA of Biomphalaria pfeifferi, 857 nucleotides long. The record is from the annotation of a GenBank genome assembly. NCBI's taxonomy places the organism in Eukaryota, Metazoa, Mollusca, Gastropoda, Planorbidae.
UAUGUCCUUUAUUCUGUAUAGCUCUUUACUAUUAUCAUGCAAUUAUUUAAGUACUAUGAUGAAAAGUAUCUUGUCAACAUUCCUACAAUGGAGUUUCUAAAGUUAAUACUUAAGUACUUAUAUGCUUAAUACUUAGUAGACUAUUGAUCACUGAAAUGUAAUUGACCAUUUAAGCCUUUUGUGGUGGGUUUUGAUUGCUUUAAGUUUAAUACAGUGGCUUGAAGAUUAUUCAGAAACAAUUGUCCAAUGUCCAACUGUGUUCUGAAAGAAACUCCCUUACAGCUCUUUAGUUAUACCAUAAAUGUCGGCCAUGGUAAAGAUAAUACUAAAGAUCAUACUAUCAAAUUUUUGGUAUGACCUAUUUCAAUUUAAAAUUGUAAUUACUCUUUUGUAAAUUAAUUGUACUAGGAAAACAUUUUACUAAUUAAAAAAUAUUAUAUCUAUGCCUGUUAUUUUUAAUAUGUAUUCUUACUGAAACUAAUGCAAAUCAUUUGAUGAAUAACUUUAUUUCAAUCAAUUUAGAAAAUAGGCAAUCUGCAUAGUCUCUAUGCUACCUGUAUCAUAUGUACGUUUUGAUUUAAUUCUUAAGUCAGUCAUGUAUUUUAUUGUUAUACAAUAUAAGUGUGUAUAUUUAACUUGUAAAAUAUUUUUAACAUUGUAACUUAGUACAACUAAUUUAAUAAGACUAUAAACAUCAGUUGUAUUUUUUUUAAAUAAUGAUAUUACCAAUUAGUAAAUAAAGAAAAACAUUCAUAAAAAUUAACAUUACUUUAUUUCUAGAGUCAUUGCAUCAUUUUCAAUAAUAAAAAUGAAUUGUAUUCUAAUCUGGGCCUAGAGAAUGAAUUACAUUAUGUAUC